GGGGAGAUUCAUCGUCAGCUUAUUUUAUAUUUUUUUGAGCUAUGAUAUCAGCUACUACUUUGUAGUUAUUGCUCGUACAUUCUCAAUUGAAUGUGAUAUAUUGUCGGCGUGCACUUCUCCCCUAGUAGGACGUCGCGACCCGUUGAGUGUCGGUCUACGGCCCAAGUGGUAGUCUUUCAUUUUUUACGAUUUGAAGACCCUUGGUGUUUCCUGACUGGCUAUUCGGCGGUAUUCGUACGGUAUUAAGCCGCAUUAAUGCGUCCAUAACCGUCGCAAGCACGGUUUUAAAGUUUAGCAGUACGGACCUAGUGCCGUCGCAAAUUUUAACCGGCUGUUGGUUGUACGGUAUUCUAGGACUGGCUGUUAAUAUCGGUCA
This 376-nucleotide ribosomal RNA is filed under the name Alloea sp. Its description in RNAcentral is "eukaryotic LSU rRNA". The record is from RNAcentral. Lineage: Eukaryota; Metazoa; Arthropoda; Insecta; Hymenoptera; Braconidae.